RNAcentral lists this ribosomal RNA (81 nucleotides) under Theobroma cacao (cacao). RNAcentral also lists the same sequence under 1 other name. The record is from RNAcentral. Lineage: Eukaryota; Viridiplantae; Streptophyta; Magnoliopsida; Malvales; Malvaceae.
GGGUGCGAUCAUACCAGCACUAAUGCACCGGAUCCCAUCAGAACUCCGCAGUUAAGCGUGCUUGGGCGAGAGUAGUACUAG